RNAcentral lists this ribosomal RNA (512 nucleotides) under uncultured bacterium. Its description in RNAcentral is "partial 16S ribosomal RNA". The record is from RNAcentral.
GGAGUUAGCCGGUGCUUCUUCUGCGAGUAACGUCACAGAUGUAAGGUAUUAACUUACACCCUUUCCUCCUCGCUGAAAGUGCUUUACAACCCGAAGGCCUUCUUCACACACGCGGCAUGGCUGCAUCAGGGUUUCCCCCAUUGUGCAAUAUUCCCCACUGCUGCCUCCCGUAGGAGUCUGGGCCGUGUCUCAGUCCCAGUGUGGCUGAUCAUCCUCUCAGACCAGCUAGGGAUCGUCGCCUAGGUGAGCCUUUACCUCACCUACUAGCUAAUCCCAUCUGGGCUUAUCCAUCAGCGCAAGGCCCGAAGGUCCCCUGCUUUCCCCCGUAGGGCGUAUGCGGUAUUAGCAGUCGUUUCCAACUGUUAUCCCCCACAAAUGGGCAAAUUCCCAGGCAUUACUCACCCGUCCGCCGCUCGUCAUCUUCAAAAGCAAGCUUUUGAAAUGUUACCGCUCGACUUGCAUGUGUUAGGCCUGCCGCCAUCGUUCAAUCUGAGCCAGGAUCAAAACUCUGA